AGUGAACGCUGGCGGUAGGCCUAACACAUGCCAGUCGAACGGCAGCACAGUAAGAGCUUGCUCUUACGGGUGGCGAGUGGCGGACGGGUGAGGAAUACAUCGGAAUCUACUUUUUCGUGGGGGAUGACGUAGGGAAACUUACGCUAAUACCGCAUACGACCUACGGGUGAAAGCAGGGGAUCUUCGGACCUUGCGCGAUUGAAUGAGCCGAUGUCGGAUUAGCUAGUUGGCGGGGUAAAGGCCCACCAAGGCGACGAUCCGUAGCUGGUCUGAGAGGAUGAUCAGCCACACUGGAACUGAGACACGGUCCAGACUCCUACGGGAGGCAGCAGUGGGGAAUAUUGGACAAUGGGCGCAAGCCUGAUCCAGCCAUACCGCGUGGGUGAAGAAGGCCUUCGGGUUGUAAAGCCCUUUUGUGGGGAAAGAAAAGCAGCAGGUUAAUACCCCGCUGUUCUGACGGUACCCAAAGAAUAAGCACCGGCUAACUUCGU
Molecule: ribosomal RNA, 491 nt
Filed under: uncultured bacterium
Lineage: Bacteria
Description: partial 16S ribosomal RNA
Rfam family: Bacterial small subunit ribosomal RNA
Source: RNAcentral